UACGUAGGGGGCAAGCGUUAUCCGGAUUUACUGGGUGUAAAGGGAGCGUAGACGGCGAUGCAAGCCAGAUGUGAAAGCCCGGGGCUCAACCCCGGGACUGCAUUUGGAACUGUAUAGCUAGAGUGUCGGAGAGGCAGGCGGAAUUCCUAGUGUAGCGGUGAAAUGCGUAGGUAUUAGGAGGAACACCAGUGGCGAAGGCGGCCUGCUGGACGAUGACUGACGUUGAGGCUCGAAAGCGUGGGGAGCAAACAGG
This 253-nucleotide ribosomal RNA is filed under the name uncultured bacterium. RNAcentral describes it as "partial 16S ribosomal RNA". It matches the Rfam family "Bacterial small subunit ribosomal RNA", at positions 524 to 776 of the family's 1533-position model. The record is from RNAcentral.